CUACGACCUCAGAUCAGACGAGACAACCCGCUGAAUUUAAGCAAUCUUACUAAGCGGAGAAAAGAAACUAACCAGGUUUCCCUCAGUAGCGGCGAGCGAAGAGGGAAGAGCCCUUCGCUGAAUUCCUGUCCGACCGGCGGGGACGGGGCAUGUAGCGGAUAGAAAACCGCUUUGCCCGGUGUCGAUCGGGGGCCUGAGUCCUUCUGAUCGAGGCUCAGCCCGUGGACGGUGUGAGACCGGUAACGGCCCCCGUCGCGCCGGGGUCCAGUCUUCUCGGAGACGGGUUGCUUUGUGAAUGCAGCCCAAAGUGGGUGGUAAACUCCAUCUAAGGCUAAAUACCGGCACGAGACCGAUAGUUCGACAAGUACCGUAAGGGAAAGUUGAAAAGAACUUUGAAGAGAGGAGUUCAAGAGGGCGUGAAACCGUUGAGAGGGGUAAACAGGUGGGGUCCGCGCAGUCUGCCCGGAGGAUUCAACUCGGCGGGUCAGGGUCGGUCGUUCCGGUGUGGUCGGAUCCCCUCGUGGGACUGACCCCCGGGUCGGGCGCCCCCGCGCGGCCCCUCCGGGCGCCUGGUGCGCCGCGACCGGCUCCGGGUUCGGCUUGGAAGGGCUUGCGGCGAAGGUGGCUACCGGUUUCGGGCGUGAGCUUUACAGCGUCCCUGCUCCGUACUCGCCGCUUUCCGGGGCCGAGGACUUUAGUACCCGCUGCGUCAUGUCCCCCUGCGGGGGGGCACGGGGCCCCCUACUCCCGGCGCGACUGUCAACCGGGUCGGACUGUCCUCACUGCGACCCAACCGCGUUGCGUCGCCAGGGCGGGGAUCGGCUCACGUAAACUGGCGCCAGGGGUCAGUGGCGAUGUCGGCAACCCACCUGACCCGUCUUGUAACACGGACCAAGGAGUCUAACGCGCGCGCAAGUCAGAGGGUUUUCUCCGAACACACCCCGUGGCGCAAUGAAAGUGAGGGCCGACGCGUGUCGGCUGGAGGUGGGAUCUCCGGCCCUCGGGGGCGGGCGCACCACCGGCCCGGUCUCGCCCGCUCUGUCGGGGAGGGGGAAGCGUGAGCGCGUGCGAUAGGACCCGAAAGAUGGUGAACUAUGCCUGGGCAGGGCGAAGCCAGAGGGAACCUCUGGUGGAGGUCCGGUAGCGGUCCUGACGUGCAAUCGGUCGUCCGACCUGGGUAAUAGGGGCGAAAGACUAAUGAACCAAUCUAGUGCUGGCUCCUCCGAAGUUUCCCUCAGGAUAGCGCUGGCUCUCGAAGCUCGCAGAUUUAUCUGGUAAAGCGAAUGAUUAGAGGUUUGGGGCCGAAACAUCUCAAACCUAUUCUCAAACUUUAAAUGGGUAAGAAGCCCGGCUCGCUGGCUUUGGAGCGGGCGUGGAAUGGCGAGCCGCCUAGUGGGCCCCAUUUUGGUAAGCAGAACUGGCGCUGCGGGAUGAACCGAACGCCGGGUUAAGGCGCCCCGAUGCCGAGCUCCAUCAGACCCCAGAAAAAGGUGUUGGUCGAUAUAGACAGCAAGGACGGUGGCCAUGGAAGUCGGAAUCCGCUAAGGAGUGUGUAAAAACUCACCUUGCCGAAUCAACUAGCCCUGAAAAUGGAUGGCGCUGGAGCGUCGGGCCCAUACCCGGCCGUCGCCGGCAAUGAGAGCCUCGAGGGCUAUGCCGCGAUGAGUAGGAGGGUCGCCGCGGUGAGCACGGAAGCUAGGGCGCGGGCCCGGGUGGAGCCGCCGCGAGUGCGGAUCUUGGUGGUAGUAGCCAAUUUUCAAACGAGAGCCUUUGAAGGCCGAAGUGGAGAAGGGUUCCAUGUGAACAGCAGUUGAACAUGGGUCAGUCGGUCCUAAGAGAGGGGCGAACCCGUUGGGAAGGGAGGGGCGAUGCCCUCCUGCGCCCCCGGCCGCGAUCGAAAGGGAGUCGGGUUCAGAUCCCCGAAUCCGGAGUGGCGGAGAUGGGCGCCGCGAGGCGGCCAGUGCGGUAACGCGACCGAUCCCGGAGAAGCUGGCGGGGAGCCCCCGGGGAAGAGUUCUCUUUUCUUUGUGAAGGGCAGGGCACCCUGGGAAUGGGUUCCCCCGAGAGAGGGGCCCAAGCCCUGGAAACGUCGCGGUGUUCCGGCGGCGUCCGGUGAGCUCUCUCGCUGGCCCUUGAAAAUCCGGGGGAGAGGGUGUAAAUCUCGCGCCGGGGCCGUACCCAUAUCCGCAGCAGGUCUCCCAGGUGAACAGCCUCUGGCCAUGUUAGAACAAUGUAUGUAAAGGAAAGUCGGCCAAGUCAGAUCCGUACUUUCGGGAUAAGGGAUUGGCUCUAAGGGCUGGGCCGGGUCGGGCUGGGGUGCGAAGCGUGGCUGGGCUCGAGCCGCGGCUGGGGGAGCAGUUGCUCCGCCGCCCUCCCGUCGCCACCCGUUGGAAGUUUGUCGUGUGGCCCAUCAUGGGGGCUCUCAUUGGCGGUCUCGCAAGGGGCCGUUUGUGGGGGUUCAUUGUGGUGGUGUCCUGCGGCAGGCCUAAGGCGGACCGGCGAUGGGUUGGGUUAGGCGGGUGCAGCGGCGACUCUGGCGCGUGCCGGGCCCUUCUCGCGGAUCUCCCCAGCUACGGUGCUCGUCGGCCCCGUUUACGCGGGGUCUCCGGCGGUUUCCUCGGACGGCGCCUAGCAGCUGACUUAGAACUGGUGCGGACCAGGGGGAAUCCGACUGUUUAAUUAAAACAAAGCAUCGCGAAGGCCCAAGGGGGGGAUGACGCGAUGUGAUUUCUGCCCAGUGCUCUGAAUUGUCAAAGUGAAGAAAUCAAUGAAGCGCGGGUAAACGGCGGGAAUAACUUAUGACUCUCUUAAGGUAGCCAUGCCUCGUCAUGCGCGUCUCUAAUUAAGAACGCGUAUGAAAGGGAUGAUGAGAUUCCCACUGUCCAACCUACUACCUAGCGAAACCCAACAGCCAAGGGAACGGGCUUGGCCAGAAUCAGCGGGGAAAGAAGACCCUGUUGAGCUUGACUCUAGUCUGGCACUGUGAAGAGACAUGAGAGGUGUAGAAUAAGUGGGAAGGCCUCGCCCGCCGGUGAAAUACCACUACUCUUAUCGUUUUCUCACUUACCCGGUGAGGCGGGGAGGUGGCCCCGAGGGGCCCUCGCUUCUGGCUUCAAACAACACUUACCCGGUGAGGCGGGGAGGCGAGCCCCGAGCGGGCUCUCGCUUCUGGCGUCAAGCACCCGGCGCGAGCCGGGCGCGACCCGCUCCGGGGACANNNNNGGGGGGGGGUUGGACUGGGGGGGGACACCUGUCAAAAGGGGGCGGUACACCUGUCAAACGGAAACGCAGGUGUCCUAAGGCCAUGCUCAGGGAGGACAGAAACCUCCCGUGGAGCAGAAGGGCAAAAGGCUCGCUUGAUUGAAUUUCAGUAUGAAUACAGACCGUGAAAGCGGGGCCCACGAUCCUUCUGACUUUUUGGGUUUUAUANNNNNNAAUCCCCCCUAAACG
Molecule: ribosomal RNA, 3450 nt
Filed under: Salvelinus fontinalis (brook trout)
Lineage: Eukaryota; Metazoa; Chordata; Actinopteri; Salmoniformes; Salmonidae
Description: eukaryotic LSU rRNA
Rfam family: Eukaryotic large subunit ribosomal RNA
Source: RNAcentral